CCAGCUACUGUCGCUGUGCGCUUUGGGCGGAAGGGCGGCUUCAAGGCGGGCUUGCGCCCUAUAAAAGCCGCCCCAUAGGCGCCCUAUAGACGCUUAGGGCUUAGAUUGCAGCCCCACAGCUCCAGCCCGCCCCAUAACCACCCCACAGCCAGCCCUAUGGUAGCAAGUCAAUAGCCAGCCCAUAGCAGCACCUAUAAACCGUCCCUAUAACCAUAACCCCCCCACUUGCCCUUUAUGGGAUGAGGCGGAGCCAUUUUCAACACCCCCCCCUCCGGUGGGCCCCCACCGCAGUAAUUGCCCCUUUAAGGCGACGCCAGCGUGGUCCAUGGCGCCUCCUUUGGAGCCAUCAGAGCAGAGAGGGGCGUGGCAUAAGCGGUGGGGGGGAGGGGGCGUGGCCAUCGAGGACCGGGGGGGGGGGGGGGAGGGUCAGUUCGUGCUCAGCUGAGAGAGAGAAGGAAGGCGCGAUGCCGUUGGCCCGCUCCAUGUCCAUCAGCUCCUUACCCGGCCUGGAUGAAUGGGAGGGGCCCCCCGACAACGCCGUCCUGUUCGAGGUGGCCUGGGAAGUGGCCAAUAAAGGUCAGUGACCCCUCGUAACCUCCUUCCUGUGACCUUUGACCCCGACGUGACCCCACCGUGACCCCAUUGCAGGCCUUGGGGUCACACUUAGGCCCCAUUGUAGGCCUUGGGGUCACACUUAGGCCCCAUUGUAGGCCUUGGGGUCCCCCUUAGGCCCCAUUGUAGGCCUUGGGGUCACACUUAGGCCCCAUUGUAUUCCUUGGGGUCACACUUAGGCCCCAUUGUAGGCCUUGGGGUCACACUUAAGCCCCAUUGUAGGCCUUGGGGUCACACAUAGGCCCCAUUGUAGGCCUUGGGGCCACACUUAGGCCCCAUUGUAGGCCUUGGGGUCCCCCUUAGGCCCCAUUGUAGGCCUUGGGGCCACACUUAGGCCCCAUUGUAGGCCUUGGGGUCACACUUAGGCCCCAGUGUCCUAUGGGUCUCAAGGCCCCAUUGUAGGCCUUGGGGGUCACCCUUAGGCCCCAUUGUAGGCCUUGGGGGUUACACUUAGGCCCCAUUGUAGGCCUUGGGGUCACACUUAGGCCCCAUUGUAGGCCUUGGGGUCACACUUAGGCCCCAUUGUAGGUCUUGGGGUCACACUUAGGCCCCAUUGUAGGCCUUGGGAUCACCCUUAGGCCCCAUUGUAGGCCUUGGGGUCACACUUAGGCCCCAUUGUAGGCCUUUGGG
This 1242-nucleotide long non-coding RNA is filed under the name Coturnix japonica (Japanese quail). RNAcentral's name for it is "lncRNA (ENSCJPG00005001534.1)". Lineage: Eukaryota; Metazoa; Chordata; Aves; Galliformes; Phasianidae. The record is from RNAcentral.